This 464-nucleotide ribosomal RNA is filed under the name Vreelandella stevensii. Its description in RNAcentral is "partial 16S ribosomal RNA". It matches the Rfam family "Bacterial small subunit ribosomal RNA", at positions 338 to 794 of the family's 1533-position model. The record is from RNAcentral. Lineage: Bacteria; Pseudomonadati; Pseudomonadota; Gammaproteobacteria; Oceanospirillales; Halomonadaceae.
CCUACGGGGGGCUGCAGUGGGGAAUAUUGGACAAUGGGGGGAACCCUGAUCCAGCCAUGCCGCGUGUGUGAAGAAGGCCCUCGGGUUGUAAAGCACUUUCAGUGAGGAAGAACGCCUGGUGGUUAAUACCCAUCAGGAAAGACAUCACUCACAGAAGAAGCACCGGCUAACUCCGUGCCAGCAGCCGCGGUAAUACGGAGGGUGCGAGCGUUAAUCGGAAUUACUGGGCGUAAAGCGCGCGUAGGUGGCUUGAUAAGCCGGUUGUGAAAGCCCCGGGCUCAACCUGGGAACGGCAUCCGGAACUGUCAAGCUAGAGUGCAGGAGAGGAAGGUAGAAUUCCCGGUGUAGCGGUGAAAUGCGUAGAGAUCGGGAGGAAUACCAGUGGCGAAGGCGGCCUUCUGGACUGACACUGACACUGAGGUGCGAAAGCGUGGGUAGCAAACAGGAUUAGAUACCCUUGUAUC